Molecule: unclassified non-coding RNA, 1044 nt
Filed under: Haliotis rufescens (red abalone)
Lineage: Eukaryota; Metazoa; Mollusca; Gastropoda; Lepetellida; Haliotidae
Description: cubilin-like, transcript variant X1
Source: RNAcentral
GAAAUACAUGUAUAUAACGUGCCGCACGUGCAUCUCUUUCAGGUCAUAACGAGGCUUCCCCUGCAUGAAGGAUAACGCGUCAUGAGGGCUGGAGAGUUGUUGAUGGUGUCGGCCAUAUUCUCCCUCGAUCACACACGCAAAUCGGUCGGUGCCGUGGAAGAAGACAGAUGCCCAGCUGAGAAGUAUAUCGUUGCCACCGACACACCGCAGAACCUGACCUCGCCUGGCUUCCCUGGAAAUUAUGUCAGGCCAUCAGCGUGCAAGUGGUUCAUAGAAAGUGAUAUUCAAGAUGGCAUCAUCAAGUUCAAGGUCAUCAAGUUUGAGCUGGAAGGGUCACCGUCUUGUUACAGAGAUUAUCUGGACGUUAGAGACGGCCCGUGGCGUCUGAGUCCCCGACUGCUGGGGUGGUGCGGUGUAAAGCCCCCGGGGAAGACGUUUAAGACGUCGGGGAAGUCGGCUACGGUUCUUUUCCAAGCAGUGACUCGCGGCCAAGAUAAACCAGGCUUCCACAUCCAGUACUGGCAAGCCAAGAACGAUGUUCUCCCGGACGCCAAGGCGAAGUACACAGUGGCUAACUUCAUCCUCGGAGGGAUAUUUGGUGUUAUUCUGCUCGUCAUCUUGGUUACGCUUCUCUUUCUUGUCAUCAUUCGCAACUUACGAUACACACGAGAGCGGCAUUUACAGCACAUCAGAAUAUACUCAUAGCCAGAUCAGCACAUCAGAAUAUACUCGUAGCCAUAUCAACACAUCAGAAUAUACUCAUAGCCAGAUGGACAUAUCAUCUUUCAUCAUAACCAUAUCGUCUCAUCAGGAUAUACCAUUAGCCAGGUCGACACAUCAGAAUAUACUCGACCAGAUCGACAUAUCGGAUUUCGUCAUAACCAGUUCGACACAUCAGAGGACAUUGACAGAAUCUUGGAGCAUUCCAUUUACUCAUGAUUUAAAAACAUCCGGGUCUUCCGAACAUGAAGCUUCCACUGAUUGGUGCCUUCUGAUAAAUUGUAUAUGUAAUCUUGUUAUUUAUUAAAUAUCGUUGACUUCCUA